UACGGAGGGGGUUAGCGUUGUUCGGAAUUACUGGGCGUAAAGCGCGCGUAGGCGGAUUGGAAAGUUAGGGGUGAAAUCCCGGGGCUCAACCUCGGAACUGCCUCUAAAACUCCUGGUCUUGAGUUCGAGAGAGGUGAGUGGAAUUGCGAGUGUAGAGGUGAAAUUCGUAGAUAUUCGCAGGAACACCAGUGGCGAAGGCGGCUCACUGGCUCGAUACUGACGCUGAGGUGCGAAAGCGUGGGGAGCAAACAGG
Molecule: ribosomal RNA, 253 nt
Filed under: uncultured Paracoccaceae bacterium
Lineage: Bacteria; Pseudomonadati; Pseudomonadota; Alphaproteobacteria; Rhodobacterales; Paracoccaceae
Description: uncultured Rhodobacteraceae bacterium partial 16S ribosomal RNA
Rfam family: Bacterial small subunit ribosomal RNA
Source: RNAcentral